GGAUCUCUGGAACAUCGGAGGAUCUGGUUCUCUAUGGCUGAAGCAGAAGAUCAACAGAUCUGAGCUGAUGGCAAAGUCUUCACUGGAUCCUUUGGUGGAAUACAGGAAUCAGAUAUCAGAUGGAGGUCACCGGUAACUGAUGGACCCUCUCGGAAUCUCUGGAACAUUGGAGGAUCUGGUUCUCUAUGGCCAAAGCAGGAGAUCAACAGAUCUGAGCUGAUGGCAAAGUCUUCACUGGAUCCUUUGGUGGAAUACAGGAAUAUCAGCAGUUGAGCAAUGGUUCUUCAGAGGACUUGGAGGUUCUGGACACUGACAGCUCCAAAGGGAAAAGCAGAUUGGGCCCUAUCUGUUUUUGUCCAUACCCAAAACCAGAUGCUCAACAGAAUGCCGAAACAGAGGGGGAUGCUUAUUCUAUAGGCCUAUACUAUCUAAAGUUGAGGGAGAAAUUUGGUAUAAAACCUGUGUGAGUUCAUAACCAUAAAGCGGUGAUGCAUGCAAUUGUGCGAGCGGCUGUGCACGGAAUCAUCAAGCACUGCCUCAGAGAGAAACAAAAUGAGGAUUGUCCUGGGUGAUGCAUGCAAUUGUGCGAGCAGCUGUGCACGGAAUCAUCAAGCACUGCCUCAGAGAGAAACAAAAUGAGGAUUGUCCUGGGAGCACCAUAGAUGCCCCCGGUCAGAGGCAUCACAAAUGCAUGUACUGGUCUUUAGAUGCUGUGAAGUGUAAAAUUAAAGAAAUUAGCAGGUAGUUUGUAUAUGGAGCGUGUGUUAAAUAAAAUUAUCAUGUUGGGAUACGAACUGCAGUGCCUCCGGAACAUUUAGCUCUAGGGGCAGAAUUAGUGGACAAAUUGACAGAGGGCGAGGACCCAAAUAGCGUUUUUGAUUAAAUCAUCAAACCGACAGAUAAAUGUUUAAUGCUAAAUGUUGACCCUCUUCUUCGCUCAGCAAAUUACAAAAUCUUGCCAAGAAAAAACACUAAAAGUUAGAGCAUG
This is a long non-coding RNA of Mauremys reevesii (Reeves's turtle), 988 nucleotides long. RefSeq lists it as uncharacterized. NCBI's taxonomy places the organism in Eukaryota, Metazoa, Chordata, Testudines, Geoemydidae. The record is from RefSeq and is a predicted model, not a curated record. The transcript is spliced from 3 exons.